CUUAUCUCUAUCUUCAUCCAA
Molecule: non-coding RNA, 21 nt
Filed under: Arabidopsis thaliana (thale cress)
Lineage: Eukaryota; Viridiplantae; Streptophyta; Magnoliopsida; Brassicales; Brassicaceae
Source: RNAcentral